This 490-nucleotide ribosomal RNA is filed under the name uncultured bacterium. RNAcentral describes it as "partial 16S ribosomal RNA". It matches the Rfam family "Bacterial small subunit ribosomal RNA", at positions 30 to 507 of the family's 1533-position model. The record is from RNAcentral.
AUUGAACGCUGGCGGCAGGCCUAACACAUGCAAGUCGAACGGUAACAGGAAGACGCUUGCUUCUUUGCUGACGAGUGGCGGACGGGUGAGUAAUGUCUGGGAAACUGCCUGAUGGAGGGGGAUAACUACUGGAAACGGUAGCUAAUACCGCAUAACGUCGCAAGACCAAAGAGGGGGACCUUCGGGCCUCUUGCCAUCGGAUGUGCCCAGAUGGGAUUAGCUAGUAGGUGGGGUAACGGCUCACCUAGGCGACGAUCCCUAGCUGGUCUGAGAGGAUGACCAGCCACACUGGAACUGAGACACGGUCCAGACUCCUACGGGAGGCAGCAGUGGGGAAUAUUGAACAAUGGGCGCAAGCCUGAUGCAGCCAUGCCGCGUGUAUGAAGAAGGCCUUCGGGUUGUAAAGUACUUUCAGCGGGGAGGAAGGGAGUAAAGUUAAUACCUUUGCUCAUUGACGUUACCCGCAGAAGAAGCACCGGCUAACUCCGUG